UUCCUGGUGCGCAUGGCGUUGUGGACCCACUCUGAAUCCAUCCCGAACUCAGGUGUGAAACGCGACUGCGGCGACGAUACUCUGGGGGUUGCCCCACGGCACAAUAGCUCCGCGCCAGGUC
Molecule: ribosomal RNA, 121 nt
Filed under: Scytonema millei
Lineage: Bacteria; Bacillati; Cyanobacteriota; Cyanophyceae; Nostocales; Scytonemataceae
Source: RNAcentral